AAACCGCGAUAAGUCACUACUUCUGGAAUGGGUAAUGACUCAAAUCUACAUGGCCCCUGGAUUGGACUGCGGCCGAUCAGGCUGUUGGUGAGGUAAUGGCCCACCAAACCUGUAACCGGUACGGGCUCUGAGAGGAGGAGCCCGGAGAUGGGCACUGAGACAAGGGCCCAGGCCCUAUGGGGCGCAGCAGGCGCGAAACCUCUGCAAUAGGCGAAAGCCUGACAGGGUUACUCUGAGUGAUUUCCGUUAAGGAGAUCUUUUGGCACCUCUAAAAAUGGUGCAGAAUAAGGGGUGGGCAAGUCUGGUGUCAGCCGCCGCGGUAAUACCAGCACCCCGAGUGGUCGGGACGUUUAUUGGGCCUAAAGCAUCCGUAGCCGGUUCUACAAGUCUUCCGUUAAAUCCACCUGCUUAACAGAUGGGCUGCGGAAGAUACUAUAGAGCUAGGAGGCGGGAGAGGCAAGCGGUACUCGAUGGGUAGGGGUAAAAUCCGUUGAUCCAUUGAAGACCACCAGUGACGAAGGCGGCUUGCCAGAACGCGCUCGACGGUGAGGGAUGAAAGCUGGGGGAGCAAACCGGAUUAGAUACCCGGGUAGUCCCAGCUGUAAACGAUGCAGACUCGGUGAUGAAUUGGCUUUAUGCCAAUUCAGUGCCGCAGGGAAGCCGUUAAGUUUGCCGCC
This 677-nucleotide ribosomal RNA is filed under the name uncultured archaeon. RNAcentral's name for it is "bacterial SSU rRNA". It matches the Rfam family "Archaeal small subunit ribosomal RNA", at positions 148 to 828 of the family's 1478-position model. The record is from RNAcentral.